UACGUAGGGUGCGAGCGUUGCCCGGAUUUACUGGGCGUAAAGGGCGCGUAGGCGGCCACUGCAAGUCAGUUGUGAAAUCUCCGGGCUUAACUUGGGAAUUGCGCUCGAAACUACUUUGCUGGAGUGUGGCAGAGGAAGGUGGAAUUCCACGUGUAGCGGUGAAAUGCGUAGAGAUGUGGAGGAACACCAAUGGCGAAGGCAGCCUUCUGGGCCAACACUGACGCUCAUGCACGAAAGCGUGGGGAGCAAACAGG
Molecule: ribosomal RNA, 254 nt
Filed under: uncultured bacterium
Lineage: Bacteria
Description: partial 16S ribosomal RNA
Rfam family: Bacterial small subunit ribosomal RNA
Source: RNAcentral